GGUAAGAUGGCUGAGCCUUAAGCGGUGGAUUGUAGCCCCAUAGACAGAGGUUAGAAUCCUCUUCUUACCA
RNAcentral lists this transfer RNA (70 nucleotides) under Sciaenops ocellatus (red drum). RNAcentral describes it as "tRNA-Tyr". It matches the Rfam family "tRNA". Rfam says of the family: Transfer RNA (tRNA) molecules are approximately 80 nucleotides in length. The record is from RNAcentral. Lineage: Eukaryota; Metazoa; Chordata; Actinopteri; Sciaenidae.